GACGAACGCUGGCGGCGUGCCUAAUACAUGCAAGUCGAACGGACUGUGGUAAUUAUGAUUGAAGAGCUUGCUCGGAGAGAUUAAUUACAAUGCAGUCAGUGGCGAACGGGUGAGUAACACGUGGGAAACCUACCUCUUAGCAGGGGAUAACAUUUGGAAACAGAUGCUAAUACCGUAUAACAAUUAGAACCGCAUGGUUCAAGUUUAAAAGAUGGUUCUGCUAUCACUAAGAGAUGGUCCCGCGGCGUAUUAGCUAGAUGGUGAGGUAAUGGCUCACCAUGGCAAUGAUACGUAGCCGAGUUGAGAGACUGAUCGGCCACAUUGGGACUGAGACACGGCCCAAACUCCUACGGGAGGCAGCAGUAGGGAAUCUUCCACAAAUGGACGAAAGUCUGAUGGAGCAACGCCGCGUGUGUGAUGAAGGCUUUCGGGUCGUAAAACAACUGUAUAAGAGAAGAAACGUACAGUGAGAGUAACUAGUUC
RNAcentral lists this ribosomal RNA (483 nucleotides) under uncultured bacterium. Its description in RNAcentral is "bacterial SSU rRNA". It matches the Rfam family "Bacterial small subunit ribosomal RNA", at positions 28 to 479 of the family's 1533-position model. The record is from RNAcentral.